Molecule: transfer RNA, 69 nt
Filed under: Cercopithecus diana (Diana monkey)
Lineage: Eukaryota; Metazoa; Chordata; Mammalia; Primates; Cercopithecidae
Description: tRNA-Ile
Source: RNAcentral
CUAGAAACAUGUCUGACAAAAGAGUUACUUUGAUAGAGUAAAUAAUAGAGGCCUUAAUCCCCUUGUUUC